Molecule: long non-coding RNA, 932 nt
Organism: Brassica oleracea var. oleracea
Lineage: Eukaryota; Viridiplantae; Streptophyta; Magnoliopsida; Brassicales; Brassicaceae
Exons: 4
Source: RefSeq, a predicted model, not a curated record
AUUCAGUUUGUGGAUUACAUAUAUCAUGCAUUUGAUCCGGUUAGUGUUUCCUUCUCUUCAGUUUGUCAGUUGGAGAGAUCUGCAUCUAAGUCAUGUAUCAAAUUCAUGUUUACCAUGUUCUCAUGUAUUGAGUUUUGAGUUUAGGAUGAUGAAUGACACCAACCAAAUCAGAAGUAGAGAUGAGCUGGCAUGUCAUCUGUUCUGAAGCAAUUUAGCAUCACUUUUGGAUCGUCGAAUAAUAACUGCUUUGUUUUUGCGUACUAUCUCAAACCUGACUUAGAUUCUAUGAGAUUUUUUUUUGAAGUUAUUCUAUAUCUAUCAUAUUUGUUUCUAACUGUUUAAUAAGGUCUUGAAAGUCCAUACCACAAAAUUUAUAAUGGACCCCUGAUUUCAAGUUAGGGGCUCUCCAACAAGAAAAUCCGGCAUUGAGUAUACUCUCAAGAAGCUACUGCAGCUUAACACAAAUGAAGAGGUCUUCGAUGCUCUCAAAACCCAGACUGUUGACUUGAAUAUUAUCAGGAUUCGUGAUGGUUUGACACAGUUAUUUGCAAAGGACACUGCUCUUAUUGAUAAACAAGAACUCGAUGAAGAUCUGAAACAUAAAGAUUCAAGUUGCUUUCCACACGGAUGAAAUCCAAAGAACUCCACCUGCACAACAAGAUGAAAUGAGAGCGGCUUUGAGCUACUACCAUGAGACAACCUGGAAAUGAGUUCUGAAGUUCUUGAAGCGUGUUGCCACAGCUCUGAAGAACAUUGGAAUUAAUGAGUGUUCCUUACGAUGCACCUCUCAUUCAAAUCUAUUCCUUGGAUGGGUGGAGACCGUGAUGGUACACUCUUAAUUCUUUCUUUUCUUGAACAUUUGCUAAAUCCAGAAACUGGUGUGAUGUAUGCUUACUAGGUUCGAGGUGGGGAAUCCAUACACUCAUUAACCA